UUUUUUUUUUUUUCCGAUAGUAUAGCUGAAACUGUCAGAGAUUGCCAAAUCAUAGGUUUAGAUUAAACCUGCUAAAAGGCUAGCUGAUAAUUACUAAAAUCUUACUUGUUUUGAAACAAUCCAACCAAAAGUUCAACCUUCUUAUGACUUUUUGGCCUUUUCGGUCCCCGUACGAUGUUAAUUCUUGAAGCCAUCUGAUUGCACGGUCUCAUUAACACUUUAUCUCGACAACCAAAUUCAUAUAUAUAAUAUAUAUAUCUCUCCCUCUUUCAUACUAAAACUUAACCUAUAGUAAUAAUAAUUUUCAUGCAACACUUAUUUAUAGCCACAUUUUCACAUGGUGUCUUAUUUUUUUUUUUUUUAUUUCCACGACUAACACGCAUGCUACCCCUGAAGUGAUACAUAUAUAAGGUGGGCAGCAUCUGUUGCCACUAGUAAUUCUCUCAUCAUAUGUCGUAAUGAGACUUAAUUAAAUGCGUUGCGCAUAUAUGUAUACAAAAAAAUGUCUUUGAAAUAUGCUCAAUUUACCAUCAUUGAUAUCAAUACUUUGUUUGGAAAUUAAAAAAAAUUCGAAGCACUUUGUUAUAUAAACUUAUCUUCGCCUUCAUAUCUUCUAGAGUGUUAUCCAGACAUUGUGAUAAUGCUUGCGUGCCGGAGUCGUAUCACUUUUGUUCUGUGUGCUAUACUCAGCUAGGAGACAAUUACGCUAUCGUUUUCCAUUGUGACCCAAAAGUAGAAGGGAGUAGAGGGAGCAUAUCUUUAUCAGUUUAUCUAUCUAUAUUUGGAACCUUGUCUUAUAUAUAUAUAUAUUCAUGAGAGGGAUAUAAUUAAGGCAUUGGAGGACAAGAUAUAUAGACACAUCUCAUACCUAAAAACACCAAUUUCGUCUCCUUUGGUGACACUAUUAUGCGGGAGACAUCGAGCAUUACGUGCACUUACUCUCUCUAAUCUCUUUAUAAUCACCAUUGCCAUAUUAAUAUUAAUUUGAAAGUACACGACGGUGCGCGGUGUUUGUUAUAAUUUAAUAGACCAUCCGGAUUCAAUUCAAUUCGCAUAUUAAAAGAUCUUACAUAUGUAUUUAAAGUACAAGCAUCUACAUUUGAUAAAAAAAUUUGUCGCUAUAUAUUUCUUAGUCUCAACCAUUAUCAUAAAUAAAUUAAUUAUGUCGGUAUAUCUUUAUUUAUUUUUUAUAUUGUGCUUCUCAACAACAUUUGAAGUCAAAUCUUGAGGCUGCACCACCAACCCAUUCUCGAAUAUGCUACAUGCUUAUGAGCAUAUGCUCGUGAAUUAGUCUUCAUUAUUUCUUUAUCUUUUUCUUAAUUUAUUUAUUUUUCUUUCCCAUCAGAAUUUUAAUUAUUUACCUUUGUUUUUACAUAUUUAAUUUGUUUGGUUUAUCAAUUGUUGACUUGGGCUCUUGGAUUGCAUAUGCUAACUGCCAGUGCGCUAUGAUCAGAAACAUCGUGGGUCUGCCGUACAAAACAUAUUAAUGUAUAUAGUCAGAAAAAUAAACUGAUGUAAUCACCCAAAAAAAAAAAAAUUAGAAGAAAAUGAAACAGAAGAAAUGAGAAAUGUGCUUAAGAGGAGAAUAAUUUGAAUCGAUUCUGAUCAUGACCAAACCUUUAAAAAGUAAAAUAAGAUUUUUAGAUCACUUAGAUUAGAAGCGUUGACUUGUGUGAUCCCAAAUAAAGCUAUGACUUUAUUUGUUUAUUAUCUAAAUUAAAAGCAUUGACUUGUGUGAUCCCAAAUCUAAGCUGAUCUGCUUACAGCCACCAUUGUAAUUUUUUUUUUUUUUUUUCACACAUAUGCUAUAUGCCUACGUACGUUUUAAAUUAACUUUUAACAAACUGUCAGGAAAAAAUAAUAAUAAUAA
Molecule: long non-coding RNA, 1870 nt
Filed under: Citrus x clementina
Lineage: Eukaryota; Viridiplantae; Streptophyta; Magnoliopsida; Sapindales; Rutaceae
Description: Citrus clementina (C. clementina) long non-coding RNA (CCLE_LNC005645)
Source: RNAcentral